AGCUUCCUCCUCACUCUGAGUUCCACAGGCGGGGAAGUUGUUGACAUCCCCACCUUUGUGAAAUACUCUCUUCUGUUGGGUUCCCUGAUUCCAGAAUGCCUUGGUUUUCUUUCUAUUUUCUUCAGCAAAUAUUCCUCAGUCAUCUUAAAUCUGUCACUUUCCUACUUAAAACACUUCAUUUGUUUUUAAAUUCCGUGAGUUAUAAAUUCAGUGGUUAUCAGACUCCUCCUCACUUCUCCAGAUGCUUCUCCAGAUAGCUCUAGCUAUCCUCAUCUUACUGAUUUUUCCUUUCUUCAGACACCCUGCUCCUGGUCUCUUGCUCCUUAUAUAUAUAACUAUAUGACAUGAAGCCAGUUCUAAUUUAUGAACCCUAGCCUCUGCCGGCCUGCGUAGUUAUUCCAAAUUUCCAUCACUCUUCAGGCCUUCAGUAUCAUUACCACUAUCCUAUCUCCUACCACUGUGCCACCUGCUUCAUGGGGGUGGGGGUGGGGGGAAGAAAAGAAAAACAGAAUGAGGCCUUCAUACCAGGAUUUCCUCAGCCUCUUCCUUGAUACUUAGAAAUAUACCUGCAUGGGAACCUACCCACUCUUCCUUAUUUUUUGUCCCAGGGAAAGAAAUGUGCUUCCACUUAUUGAAGCCCAAUCCAGUCCCUUCCUGACUUUUCAGGAAUGUGUUCUACUUGUUGACAUUGGCUUUUGUCUCCAGUAGUUUUGUCCAUUGUUAUACUCUUACACUCCUUGGAAAAGAGGAGUCCCUUGAUUCCACAUUUCCUCCUAGCUACUGACCUAGCCGUGCUUCCUUUCAGAAUCAGGUUUCUUGAAAGAGAGGCCUGUAAUUGGCUAUCCCCACUUCCUUAUGCCUGUUUGGUUCCCCAACCCACUGCCAUUAGCUUCUGUUCCCCAGACGCCAGUGAAAUGGUUCCUGCUAACUUGCCAGUAAGUUUCACGGUUUCCAAAACCAGUGGACAGUUUUUGUGUUUUUUUUUUUUAAUCUUUACCUUAUGUUGUGCUUCUGUAAUAUUAGACACCGCUGACCACCCCUCCUUGGACCUGUCUUCUCCUUUGAUGGACGUGAUCCUACUUUUCUCUGGUACUUCUCUGAUCUUCUCAGCUUUUUCCUUUGCAGGCUCUUUGGGGCUCGUCUUUAUUCACUUGUUCGUUUAGCAGAUAUUUAUUGAGCUGGACCCUGGAGCUGCAGUGAGGGGUAGAAUAUAAUCCCUGCCCUCAUGGAGUUUGUAGCGUACAGGGAAUGAGAGACCAUUGAAUAAUCACGCUAGUAACCAUAGACCAUUAUGAAUUCCGGUAAGUGCUGUGAGAGCGCGAAUCAGGGGCCUGAUCUAGUUUUGGGGUACCUGAGGGUUGACGCAAAUAGGUGUCAUCCAUCAUACUGUACUACUUUUCUUACCUUGUCAAAAUAUGAAAUUUUGGUGAAUGAAUGCAUAUUCCUCUUCGUCAUACCCUUAAUUAUUUAAUAACUGUCAGUCACGUACGCUUUCACAAUCUGCUGUUUCCAAAUGGAGAUAUUUUUAGUCUUUUUAUGUACAGUCUCUGCUGCCUAUUAGUAGUUAUGUAGAGACUUGGGGCUUAAAUACAUUUUUGUAAAUUUUCUUCAGUUCCCUACUGCCUUCCUUGAGCAGCAGUAGAAGUCCACGGCAUUCCAGGUGCCCGUCUCUUUGAAACUGCAUUCCAUCCCCUGUCUUAAAAAUUGGAUUUACACAUGUAGCUUUCUAAAUUUAGAUCUUGUGCGUCAAGAGUAGACAGCCUACUACAGGCACAUCUAUACCACUCCUUUUUAGUAUGCCGUAUUGUUGAGGAGGUGUGGACGGUCCGGACCUGACCUCCGUCGUUUCAUAAUUGUGACAAAUGACUUGGAUGUGCUGCCCAAGGAAGCGCUGCGAAUCGGCAUCAAAACCCUGGCAAUCUGGCUGAGAUUGGGGGUUUAACCUUUUUAGCCUGGAUCCUUCGCAGGCAUACACAAGAUACGCCAGACAUGUGAAAAGGGGAGGGAGCGAGCCAAGCACUGGAACCUCUGGGGCACUGAUGUAACAAUAUUCCAAACUCAAAACCCACUUCAACACCUACCAAACUGAUGGACCUGCGUUUCAAGUCCAUCUCUGAAUGUGGAGGAAUACCCCUCCUUCCUGCCCCUCACCCUGAGGUUCUCUGUUCCGCCCAGAACUGUAUUCGAUAUAAUUCCCAAGGGGAGACAUAGAACUGAUGGACAAAAGACUAAAAAAAGAGAGUUUGACUCAGUUUGACUCUUAUAUAACAAUCAGCUUUGCUGUGGUUAAUAACAUUGACUUGGCACAGA
This is a long non-coding RNA of Panthera uncia (snow leopard), 2310 nucleotides long. RefSeq lists it as uncharacterized. NCBI's taxonomy places the organism in Eukaryota, Metazoa, Chordata, Mammalia, Carnivora, Felidae. The record is from RefSeq and is a predicted model, not a curated record. The transcript is spliced from 2 exons.